UACAGAGGUCCCAAGCGUUGUUCGGAUUCAUUGGGCGUAAAGGGUGCGUAGGUGGCGCCGUAAGUCAGGUGUGAAAUUUCGGAGCUUAACUCCGAAACUGCAUUUGAUACUGCGGUGCUUGAGGACUGGAGAGGAGACUGGAAUUUACGGUGUAGCAGUGAAAUGCGUAGAGAUCGUAAGGAAGACCAGUGGCGAAGGCGGGUCUCUGGGCAUAUCCUGACGCUGAGGCGCGAAAGCGUGGGGAGCAAACGGG
RNAcentral lists this ribosomal RNA (253 nucleotides) under uncultured bacterium. RNAcentral describes it as "partial 16S ribosomal RNA". It matches the Rfam family "Bacterial small subunit ribosomal RNA", at positions 524 to 776 of the family's 1533-position model. The record is from RNAcentral.